CCUACGGGAGGCUGCAGUGGGGAAUAUUGGACAAUGGGGGGAACCCUGAUCCAGCCAUGCCGCGUGUGUGAAGAAGGCCCUCGGGUUGUAAAGCACUUUCAGUGAGGAAGAACGCCUGGUGGUUAAUACCCAUCAGGAAAGACAUCACUCACAGAAGAAGCACCGGCUAACUCCGUGCCAGCAGCCGCGGUAAUACGGAGGGUGCGAGCGUUAAUCGGAAUUACUGGGCGUAAAGCGCGCGUAGGUGGCUUGAUAAGCCGGUUGUGAAAGCCCCGGGCUCAACCUGGGAACGGCCUCCGGAACUGUCAAGCUAGAGUGCAGGAGAGGAAGGUAGAAUUCCCGGUGUAGCGGUGAAAUGCGUAGAGAUCGGGAGGAAUACCAGUGGCGAAGGCGGCCUUCUGGACUGACACUGACACUGAGGUGCGAAAGCGUGGGUAGCAAACAGGAUUAGAUACCCCAGUAGUC
This 465-nucleotide ribosomal RNA is filed under the name Vreelandella stevensii. RNAcentral describes it as "partial 16S ribosomal RNA". It matches the Rfam family "Bacterial small subunit ribosomal RNA", at positions 338 to 795 of the family's 1533-position model. Lineage: Bacteria; Pseudomonadati; Pseudomonadota; Gammaproteobacteria; Oceanospirillales; Halomonadaceae. The record is from RNAcentral.